UGUGCGGCUGAAAAGUAGCCUUUGUUGUGGGGUUUGCAGGCUUUGUCCCCUCCUAGGAGCAGUGCCCCUUUCUUCAGGCUUCAACCCCUCGGAGAGAACUUGCAUCGUGGUCACCAAGCACUGAGUCUCAAAGCUGAACCAGGGAACUCUUCCUAAGGCUCUCCAUGCUGGCCGUGCUCUGCAUCCUGACGCGUCCUCAUCGGCACACCAGGGCAGCACCAGAAGAGCUACUGCAGCCUUUGGAGAGGAGUGGGCAUCUUGCAGUCUUCUUGCCCGUUGCGCUCCAAGCACAUUAGUCCCAAAGCCAUGCUCUCCAAAGGACUUUCAAGCAUCAUUUAAACUCGUCUCAGACCAGCUCCCUGGACUCGUCUGCUGCCAUGAGAGGUCUCAGCCAAGGAUUUGGAGCCAAGAUAUGAGGGAAAUGGCUUAACCAGAUGUGUGCCCAUGCCUGCAACACUGAACUUUGAGAUGUGGUUAUUUAAAAAGCCUGCCAUCUUCUCUGGCUCACUGCAGCAAGGGAAGACUGAGGCCUCUGAAGAUGGAACCCAGUCCGUCUUCUAGCUCUUCAGGUGCAGCGAGAACAUUUAAGGACUGAUCUUUUACAGCUCCUCUCAAGCACUGGAAUUUCCAGGUGCAUGUUUUCAGGGCACAAGCAACCCCAGGAAAGCUGCUUUUCAAAAGGUAUGUCAUCUCUUGUUUAGGCUGAAAAAAGCAAUGAAAAAAAAGAAGUGAAAAAACUGACCUUUGGCAUCAAAACAAAGCAAGUAUUUGCUUUCCAUAAACUUCUUUAACUGUAUCUCAUGCAAAAAAAAAAAAAAAAAACCUGUAAUAACUACUUAAGGAAAUAAGGAUGAAGGUAAAAGCAAGGUGCUAGUAUUGGAGAUAAGGUUAAAUCAGGGCCCAGCAGAAAGAACGUGGCUGGGGAAGAAGUUUAACAAGUUCAUUUUAUGUGCCACUGUGUCAUGCUUCUCUUUGUUGCUCAAGAAUGUUGCCUCACUGGUUCCUAGGGUGUGAAAGGGCCAUGUUGCUGGGAGGAUGUGCCCCACGGACCACACAUGAGCCACUACUGGGCUAUGUGACACUGACAGAAGAGGUGAUCCCUCUGAAAAUUGUUGUUUUACUUGUAUUGCAAUUUUGCCAUGGACCAAGAACUGGCCUGGACUUUGUGGUCAGAGGUCUUCUGUAGAGUGAUAGUUUGCAGAACAGUAGUGUGCAGGCCAAAAGCAGAAGCAGAGCAGGUAGGCACUCAAACCAAAUCAAGGGAACUUAAUGUCCAUCCGUGGAAGGUGUUCACAGUGGUCAGGAGGUUUGGAAGAUAUUCAUCUUGUAAGACAGGAGUUCUGGAGAUUAAGCUAAAUCCUCUCUAAAGUAAUGGAGAUCCUUCUGGCCUUUGCUGCCUUCAAAGGGAAGAGGUAGGACAAGAGCACCCAUAGAUUAUGUUGUGUGUAUGCAUAUAAAGCAAAGCAUGGCAGGAACCUGACAAACCUUGCUGAGAAGUGUAGAGUGUACUGGGAGCAUGUGGCAAGCCCUGGCGUAUACACACCUUGUCACUGUGAUCAGUGGCUUGAAGCCAGGCUAGGUCAGAGUUUACACUGCGAACUGACAUCCCUUCCUCCUGCCAGUGUUUGUACACAUCCCAAACUGCUAUUGCGCAAUCUGGUGUGAGUGGCAUGCUCUGCUCAGAAGAGAUCCAGGACUGGAAGAGCAGGCUACAUCUGUCUGUUGGGCAGGACUGCAAUGCAGGACUGGAGACAUCUGAGCCUGAUUGCUUUCCUUCCAUUCCUCCACUUUCCACCCGCAUCCCCAUCCCUGAAACAAAGAUUCCCACUAAAGGCAAACAAGUAGCUAUAGCAGAAGAUUUCCUAGCUGCUGCCCGCAUGUCAGCUGCUGCUGCUGCUGCAGACUGUGGCUCAUGUGAUGACAGCACUGAUUCAAUUAACUGAUUUUUUGAAUCCUUCAUUUUAUAGCAGUAAGUCCCUUGUGUGGACACUCUUAAACCAGUUAGAAGAACCGAUCAAGUAUAAAUUUGUAGAAGAAAAGGAGAUGGGACUCUGCUUCACUUCUCUUUUUCUGUCUGUUCCUUCUGCCUAGCUGCACAGCCAGGCAGUCCAGUGACAGUGCCCUGCUGUUCUGCCUUAGAAGGGGUUACUGCCUCUGCCAAUCCUGGAAGAAAAAGUGAUCAGCCCCCAGCACCAUUUGUUCUGCCCUUGCUGAUCUCAAAGCCUGCUCCAGAGCAUGUCUUCUGUGAGCUCCAAGACUGUUCAUCAUAACUGCCCCUUCUACCUCUUCCAGCUUAAAGGCAAGCAGGAACUGACACUUUAUAGGACUUUACUGUGAGGGACUACACUUUACAUCUACAGGACUCAGAAAAGCCAAGGUAUGGCUCCCAUAACAGCUGUAACUCAGACCUUUUUGCACACAUAUUAUUUUUAGUUAUUAUAGAUGGUGUUAACGUUAAUGCCUUAACCCUUAAAGCAGCUAGCUAAUUUCCAGGUCGAUAUGACCAGUGAGCUGGCUAAUUUCCAGCAUUUUGGGGAGAGAGCCAAGAAGUGCAAUGCCAGGGUGUUUCUGACUGCUGAUGUGUCUAAGUAGAGUACAUCCAGGUCCGUGCUUCUUCCCGGGCCUCUGCCCACCAUCUGCCACCCCACCAUCCUUUGUGCCAGGGGGCUAAGUGUCUUUGUGAGUAGGGCUGCAAGCUGCAUGUCAUCGUACCGUCAACCAAGAUGCCUAGCAGAGGACAAAUUGGCGGUUUAUUAACCUAGCUGCACAAUGCUAGGGACAUUAGAAGAGGCAACCAACUUGGCCUAGGAGUUCUGCAAGGGUAAGAUGUAAGAAAAACGUGACACCAUCACCCAUGCGCCGCCCAUUGUUCCUGAAAUGUGGAUCUGACAAGGAAAAGGUUGUGGCAAGCGGGCAGGAGAGGAAAAGGGAGGGGGCAGUUCAAACACUAUGGCCCGGAGAAAGAAAACCCUGCGUUCAUGCUUGCGUCAGUAGCCUGCCUGUGUGCUGACCCCCGGCUCACCUGAGCCUUGGCAAAGCUCCCCUUUGUUCUGUGUUGGCUUUCAGAAUCCAAAGCUAUCCCACAGCCACUCUGUGACCCGUUCCACCCAGACAGCCUGCCCAUGAUUGCUUCAUAAAGCAAGACCCAGGAAUCAAAAACAGGGCAUGUUUCCUGAGCAGAGAUGGAAAACAGCUGCGCUGGAAAAAAGGAGGGGUUUGCUGGCUGAGCAGUGGAAAAUACAGAUCAAGGCCUGGUUGAGCAAUCUUCCCUGGCUGGCCUUUGGCUGCUAUUGUGGCGAGGGGACUCGCUGGCGUUGGCAGGAGGCUGCUGCCAGGCGGCAGGGUAGCGAGAGCCUCUGAUGACCACAAGCCUAGAAACCCAGAGCUUAGUUCUGCCUGUUUGUCGCUUGCGUGGUGUUGCGCUGCCUGGGAGGCUGAAAAGGGACGUCAUGGUGAUGUGGCCCUUAUCACUGCGCUGUACCUGUAUCUGUCCAGCCUGUCCCAGGGGGCAUUUGAAUGGCCGGGCCAGUUACAGUGAAGGCACGUAGAUCUGUACCGCUACAAAAUAGUGGCAUCAGCCCAGGUGUGGAUCUAGAUUCCUGCCUGGUGUUCACAGAGUGCUUGCUGUGUGGCUAAGGGAUGUGGUUACGUAGUCUGGCCAGGUUCCUGCGUCUGAAUCCUCGGCUCCCAUACAGUGCAGUCGGUGCACACCAGACAACUGGACAACGCACGUGAGCUAACCUCACGUACCUGCAGUUGCAUGCUGGGGUGGGAGGCUGAGCGUAUAAACUUGGAGCUCGCAUCUGCUCUACCACCACUCUGCUCUGACAUCAAAGGAAGCCACUGCCAUGGUUUUAUAAGCUUUGUCUGCUGGUUGCUUCGAGUCCAACUUCUGGAAGAGUCCCUGAUUUGUAUCAAAUCCAAAAUCUGUAACCAAAAGUAAAUGAUCGUGUGGCUUUAACAUGCAGGCAGAGUUUGAAGCCAGAGGAAAGGGCUGUGGGGUUCUGUUAGAUUUUUUUUUUCUAAUUAUUGUGCACAAGAAGGAGAUGGUGAAUGUGAACAGAGAGGGAGGAUUAAUUAGGCCUUUGCUGACCAGAGCCCAAUUCUGAAAAAUUUUACUAUGUUCUGCUGAGGGAGUGCAGCACCACCUCUCUUCUCCUAGUGCUCUUCUCUGUAGCUAAGCAAGAAACUAAAGGGAAGGGGCAAAAUGUUGAGAAGGCAGAAAGCGAAGGAAAUAGGCAGGACCAUCAAUCACCUCCUAGGCUGAUACAUACCAGCAACAUUGGCCUCUCUUCUUAGCACCUGGAACAGCAGAAGACAGUAUGAUGAAUGUUUUUCACUGUGUAGUACUGGGGCCAUGGAUGCACUGUAAUUGCAGGGAGAUCGUGCUUUCUUAGAACUGGCUCAACCUACCGAGCUGAAACAUAUGGAUUCAGACCUUGCUCUGCAGCAGUUUCCAGCAGUGUUCAUCACUAAGACACAGCACAGCUGCAGAGGAAAAAACAACAAAACAGAUCAGUGCUACAGACCCACCAAGGGGCAGAAUGAAGAUGUGGUGUGGUGACCUAUAGGAGGAGGCAAACUGCCGAAUGGAGGCAGGAGCAGCUCCCAAAGGAGCGCAGAGGGAAGCCAUUCUGGCCCAGAUAGCCAACUCUGGAGUAUUUCUGGCCCUCUGGCCUGGGCUUUGGAGUACCGGUACCUCGGGGUGAGCACCAAGGGGGUGCUGGCUUCACAUGCUAGAAGGGCACGGUCUUGAGGCCAUUAGCACAAAGAUACAGUAGUGUUACCAGGAGCAAACUGUGACUGCGGGCGAACAGUGAUAUGUAGGUGCAGAGAUGGAUGAAAGCAGCAUUGCUUUUGCAGUUAGGGGCUAAGCUCCCAAUGGGAUGCAAGCAUUGCAUUAUUUGAGUUUUCGGCAUGUUGGGAGCUUAAGACUGUAUAUACACUGUAGAGAAGGAGGAAGGCAGCGAACAGCUCUUGUGCCAGCAGUCAGCCUGGAGCCCCGUCAGCUGGGCUUCUCUGGGCGCAGCUUCCCGGGGGCUGCGGGGAGGUAGCUCAUGCUGCUCAAGGGCUCAGCCGGUGACUCCUACCCCAGCAGGAGAAUGGCUUUUCUUAGAUAUUUCUCACACAUCGUUUUCUGAGAAGGCUCUGAGAGAGUAUAUGUAAUAUAUUUUGAGAAGAAUUCCUCUCUCAGAAGAGAGGAAAAUGAGAAAAAUGGCAUGCUUAGAUUUUUGUCCCUAUAGCACUUUAAGAAGUACUUUCUAGACAAAGAACAAUGAGUUUUAGCUAUUACUGAUUUAAGCCAGGUCACACUAAACUUGAUACACAUCAGGCUUUGCACAAGUGCACACAAAACCAGUUUGUUUAAAUCUGGGCAUUUUUUCUAGUACAUUCAGACAAACAAAACCCAGGUAGGUGUGCAAAAUUAAUAGUUGGUAAUAGCUUCAGCAUUCUUAGAGCUAUUGAAAUUUUGGCAUUACUUGCAGAUAAAAGCUCCAGCACUUCGAAGUUUAUUUUUGAUCCAAAAAAAGAUGCAGGCAUAUUUUAGAAAUAACUUACAAAAUGAGGCAUUAGUCUUUUGUCUUAUACUGACCUCAAGUUAUUCUUUUUAAAAAAAUACAUCCUUCCCUUUUAACUUCUUAAUGUGAUAUUUGUAAUCAGAGCGCUUAAGAAACAAACAUUCUGCCUCAGUAGCUGCUCAACAGUGUCAAAAUGGGAUUUCGACAAUGGCUGAAACAAAAUUUCAUUUAGAAAAAAAUUUUGUUACCACAAGAAAGUUCCAAUUCUGGUGAAAGUGUAUUUCCUCCAAAAAAGCAAAAAGCAAACCUAUUAUUCAAGGAUUUGAUCUGAUGUCUGUUUGCUCUUCAAGAGGCAGUAGGGCAAUGGAGAGAAGGAAAUUGUAAGUUUUGGGAGAAAAGUCCUAUGAAGAAAUGGGGACAAUGAAAGCAGAGGAAGGAAAGUACAAAUUCCAAGGUAUUUGAGACAUAGCUGGUAUCCUUUACAUCCUGAGUUGUGCAGUUCAGUUGUACAUAUUUCAGUGUCCCACCACAGAGGCAGCUGCGUUUCAGUUGUGAGUUAUUAUACGCAGAGUUUUGUAUAGUUGUCAUAGGAUCUUAUGAGAUGAAAAGGAGCUGACCACGGCAAAGAAAGUAAAACAGAACAUGCAAUCUAUUAACUAUGCUGGAAACCACUCAUGCCACAGAGGAAUGGGUGCCAGGAAGCAAAACCUUCCAGAAGAAGAAGGAGAAAAAAAAAAAAAAAAAGGACAUUGGUAGCUGGGAGAAGAGUACAGACUCAUUACCACAGCUGAACUGUUGAAAACCAGCCGCCGGUUUUCUGUAGCUCUUCAUCUGUUUUUCUGUUCAUUUUUGUCCUUCUCUUUAACCUUGCUGGGUAAAACACAUCUCCAAGGACAAAUAAAAAUGAUUUUCUUACCAGU
Dromaius novaehollandiae (emu) is the source of this 6439-nucleotide long non-coding RNA. RefSeq lists it as uncharacterized. The transcript has 4 exons. Lineage: Eukaryota; Metazoa; Chordata; Aves; Casuariiformes; Dromaiidae. The record is from RefSeq and is a predicted model, not a curated record.